GUUGAACGCUGGCGGCGUGCCUAAUACAUGCAAGUCGAGCGAUCGGACGAGAAGCUUUCCUCUCUGAUGUUAACCGCGGACGUGUUAGUAACACGUGUAUAACCUACCUAGAAGACUGUAAUAACUUCGGUAAACCGUAGCUAAUACCGGCUAUUAUUGUGAGCCGCAUGGUUCAAAAGUUAAAGCCGGUCUUGCUGCCACUGUUAGAUUAAGCCGUGUUGGAUUAGCUAGUUGGUAAGGUAAAGGCUUACCAAGGCAACGAUGCAUAGCCGGCCUGAGAGGACGAUCGGCCACACUGGAACUGAGACACGGUCCAGACUCCUACGGGAGGCAGCAGUAGGGAAUCUUGCGCAAUGGGCGAAAGCCUGACGCAGCAACGCCGCGUGCAUGAUGAAGGUCUUCGGAUCGUAAAACUCUGUUAUUCGGGACGAACAUAUGUGUAAGAAUCUGUGCAGAUAUUGACGGUACCUAAUCAGAAAGCAACGGCUAACUACGUG
RNAcentral lists this ribosomal RNA (497 nucleotides) under uncultured bacterium. Its description in RNAcentral is "partial 16S ribosomal RNA". It matches the Rfam family "Bacterial small subunit ribosomal RNA", at positions 28 to 507 of the family's 1533-position model. The record is from RNAcentral.